This 496-nucleotide ribosomal RNA is filed under the name uncultured bacterium. RNAcentral's name for it is "partial 16S ribosomal RNA". It matches the Rfam family "Bacterial small subunit ribosomal RNA", at positions 28 to 506 of the family's 1533-position model. The record is from RNAcentral.
GAUGAACGCUGGCGGCGUGCCUAAUACAUGCAAGUCGAGCGAACAGAUAAGGAGCUUGCUCCUUUGACGUUAGCGGCGGACGGGUGAGUAACACGUGGGUAACCUACCUAUAAGACUGGGAUAACUUCGGGAAACCGGAGCUAAUACCGGAUAACAUUUGGAACCGCAUGGUUCUAAAGUGAAAGAUGGUUUUGCUAUCACUUAUAGAUGGACCCGCGCCGUAUUAGCUAGUUGGUAAGGUAACGGCUUACCAAGGCGACGAUACGUAGCCGACCUGAGAGGGUGAUCGGCCACACUGGAACUGAGACACGGUCCAGACUCCUACGGGAGGCAGCAGUAGGGAAUCUUCCGCAAUGGGCGAAAGCCUGACGGAGCAACGCCGCGUGAGUGAUGAAGGGUUUCGGCUCGUAAAACUCUGUUAUUAGGGAAGAACAAAUGUGUAAGUAACGGUGCACGUCUUGACGGUACCUAAUCAGAAAGCCACGGCUAACUACGU